Molecule: ribosomal RNA, 459 nt
Filed under: uncultured bacterium
Lineage: Bacteria
Description: bacterial SSU rRNA
Rfam family: Bacterial small subunit ribosomal RNA
Source: RNAcentral
AACGAACGCUGGCGGCAUGCCUAACACAUGCAAGUCGAACGAAGCCUUCGGGCUUAGUGGCGCACGGGUGCGUAACGCGUGGGAAUCUGCCCUUGGGUUCGGAAUAACAGUUAGAAAUGACUGCUAAUACCGGAUGAUGUCUUCGGACCAAAGAUUUAUCGCCCAAGGAUGAGCCCGCGUAGGAUUAGGUAGUUGGUGGGGUAAUGGCCCACCAAGCCGACGAUCCUUAGCUGGUCUGAGAGGAUGAUCAGCCACACUGGGACUGAGACACGGCCCAGACUCCUACGGGAGGCAGCAGUGGGAAUAUUGGACAAUGGGCGAAAGCCUGAUCCAGCAAUGCCCGCGUGAGUGAUGAAGGCCUUAGGGUGUAAAGCUCUUUUACCAGGGAUGAUAAUGACAGUGCCUGGAGAAUAAGCUCCGGCUAACUCCGUGCCAGCAGCCGCGGUAAUCUGAGCUGCC